This 774-nucleotide ribosomal RNA is filed under the name uncultured Neocallimastigales. Its description in RNAcentral is "partial large subunit ribosomal RNA". It matches the Rfam family "Eukaryotic large subunit ribosomal RNA", at positions 18 to 643 of the family's 3401-position model. Lineage: Eukaryota; Fungi; Neocallimastigomycota; Neocallimastigomycetes; Neocallimastigales. The record is from RNAcentral.
UCAGACGAUGCGUCAUGCAUAUCAAUAAGCGGAGGAAAAGAGACUAACAAGGAUUCCCCUAGUAACGGCGAGUGAAGCGGGAAGAGCUCAAAUUUGAAAUCUUAAAGGGUUUCCCUUUACGAAUUGUAGUUUAAAGAAGUGUUUUCUGUUGAGGUUUUGGUAAAAGUUCUUUGGAAUAGGACAUCAUAGAGGGUGAGAAUCCCGUAUUUGACCUUUACUUUCAACUUUGUGAUACACUUUCAAAGAGUCGGAUUGUUUGGGAAUGCAGUCCAAAAUGGGUGGUAAAUUUCAUCUAAAGCUGAAUAUUGGCGAGAGACCGAUAGCGAACAAGUACCGUGAGGGAAAGAUGAAAAGAACUUUGAAAAGAGAGUUAAACAGUACGUGAAAUUGUCAAAAGGGAAGCGUUUGACACCAGUGUUGUUUUUCUGAAAAUCAAUUAAAGAACUGUUUAUGCUAAGCUGUUUAGACUUUAUCAGCUAUCUGUUUAGUUUUGAGCUUUUCUUUAAUGCACUUUUCAGUUAACAAGUCAACAUCAAUUUCUUUUGCUGUAAAAAAGCUUGAGGAAGGUGGCUUGAGAUUCGUCUUAAGUGUUUAUAGCCUCUUGCCUAUGCAGUCGGAGAGAUUGAGGUCUGCAGCGUAGAUCCUUCGGGGCUAAAUGCAUUUGUGCUAAGUUAUAGCAUUUUAUAGACAACUUGUUGACUAUGAUUUGUCUUGUAGCUUACUCGCUUAUGUUAUUUUACCUACGCUUAGGAUGUUGACACACGCGCGUGCUCG